CUACGGAGGGAGCAAGCGUUAUUCGGAAUCACUGGGCGUAAAGGACGCGUAGGCGGGUUUGUAAGUCAGGUGUGAAAUCCUACAGCUCAACUGUAGAACUGCACUUGAAACUACAGACCUAGAGUAUGGAAGGGGCAGAUGGAAUUAGUGGUGUAGGGGUAAAAUCCGUAGAUAUCACUAGGAAUACCGAAAGCGAAGGCGAUCUACUGGGACAUUACUGACGCUGAGGCGUGAAAGCGUGGGGAGCAAACAGGAUUAGAAACCCCUGUAGUCC
RNAcentral lists this ribosomal RNA (274 nucleotides) under uncultured bacterium. RNAcentral's name for it is "partial 16S ribosomal RNA". It matches the Rfam family "Bacterial small subunit ribosomal RNA", at positions 523 to 796 of the family's 1533-position model. The record is from RNAcentral.